RNAcentral lists this ribosomal RNA (117 nucleotides) under Bacillus sp. CHD6a. Lineage: Bacteria; Bacillati; Bacillota; Bacilli; Caryophanales; Bacillaceae. The record is from RNAcentral.
UCUGGUAAUGAUGGCGAAGUGGUCACACCCGUUCCCAUACCGAACACGGAAGUUAAGCUCUUCAGCGCCGAUGGUAGUUGGGGGAUCUCCCCCUGUGAGAGUAGGACGUUGCCAGGC